This 800-nucleotide ribosomal RNA is filed under the name uncultured bacterium. Its description in RNAcentral is "bacterial SSU rRNA". It matches the Rfam family "Bacterial small subunit ribosomal RNA", at positions 8 to 803 of the family's 1533-position model. The record is from RNAcentral.
AGAGUUUGAUCCUGGCUCAGAUUGAACGCUGGCGGAAUGCUUUACAUAUGCAAGUCGAACGGCAGCACGGACUUCGGUCUGGUGGCGAGUGGCGAACGGGUGAGUAACAUAUCGGAACGUAUCCAAUAAUGGGGGAUAACUAAUCGAAAGGUUGGCUAAUACCGCAUACGCCCUACGGGGGAAAGCAGGGGAUCUUCGGACCUUGCGUUAAUGGAGCGGCUGAUAUCUGAUUAGCUAGUUGGUGAGGUAAAGGCUCACCAAGGCGACGAUCAGUAGCUGGUCUGAGAGGACGACCAGCCACACUGGAACUGAGACACGGUCCAGACUCCUACGGGAGGCAGCAGUGGGGAAUUUUGGACAAUGGGCGCAAGCCUGAUCCAGCCAUUCCGCGUGAGUGAAGAAGGCCUUCGGGUUGUAAAGCUCUUUCGCAAGGGAAGAAAACUUACUUUCUAAUAAAGAGUGAGGUUGACGGUACCUUGAUAAGAAGCACCGGCUAACUACGUGCCAGCAGCCGCGGUAAUACGUAGGGUGCGAGCGUUAAUCGGAAUUACUGGGCGUAAAGCGUGCGCAGGCGGUUUUGUAAGUCAGAUGUGAAAUCCCCGAGCUCAACUUGGGAACUGCGUUUGAAACUACAAGACUAGAAUAUGUCAGAGGGGGGUAGAAUUCCACGUGUAGCAGUGAAAUGCGUAGAGAUGUGGAGGAAUACCAAUGGCGAAGGCAGCCCCCUGGGAUAAUAUUGACGCUCAUGCACGAAAGCGUGGGGAGCAAACAGGAUUAGAUACCCUGUUAGUCCACGCUCU